Pezoporus occidentalis (night parrot) is the source of this 1059-nucleotide long non-coding RNA. RefSeq lists it as uncharacterized. The transcript is spliced from 2 exons. Lineage: Eukaryota; Metazoa; Chordata; Aves; Psittaciformes; Psittacidae. The record is from RefSeq and is a predicted model, not a curated record.
CUUCAUUUUACUGUGCCUUUUAAAAUUCCUAUCCAACUCCACUGCAUGUACCCAAGCUUCCGCCUCCAACUUCACCACACUUCCUCUGCUGCCACUUUGUUUGUGAACAUUGCUGGCCCUGCUGUAUGCGUGACCACUGUGCCCAAAAGGAUGGUGAGAGAACGGUAUGAAAUCUGAAAACAAGAGUAUCAUCUUUCUUACUGUAACCCAGGUCUGGUUGUGGAUCAGGAUGCUUUGGUGGAAGCCCUUCAGAAAAAAGUUAUUAAGGCAGCCGCUUUGGAUGUGACGUAUCCUGAACCCUUGCCAAGGAAUCACCCCUUGUUAAAGCUGAAGAAUAUUAUAAUAACUCCUCACAUUGGAAGCGCCACCAAAAAGACACGCCGCCUAAUGAUGGAAGACAUGACAGAAAGCAUACAAGCAGGUCUUAUAGGUCUUCCUAUCCCUAAUGAAGUAUUACUGUAAAGCGGCCUCCAUUUAAUGUGUCAUUAGUGUUUGUCCUGGUGUGAUGAAACAGUAAUUUGAUCACUCUUCAUGCAAUUAUGCCUGGUGUGUAUAUACAGAUCAAAUAUAAUCAUUCUGGUUUCAGCUGGGUAGAGUUAAUUUCCUUCCUAGUAGCUGGUGCAGUGCUGUGUUCUAGCUUUAGUCUGAGAACAAUGCUGAUAACACACCGAUGUUUUAGUUGUUGCUCAGUAGCACACACUUACUCCGAUCACGAUUUUUCAGUCUCUCACGCUCUGCCAGUGCGGAGGGGCACAAGAAGCUGGGAGGGAGCAGAGACAAGACACGUGACCCAAACUAACCAAAGGGGUAUUCCAUAUCACAGCACGUCAUUCCCAGUAUAUAAACUGGGGGGUGUCACCUGGAAGGGGCUGAAGACUGCUCAGGUUGGGCUGAAUAUCAGUUGGCAGUUGGUGAGCAAUUGCAUUGUGCCUCACUGCUGUUUACUGGGUUUUUUUCUUUCCCCUUCUAGUUUUGUCUUUUCUCCCCUUGUUAUUUUCCUUAUCAUUAUUAGUAGUACUAUUCUAUUGUACUUUAGUUAUUAAACUGUUCUUAUCUCAA